CUCCUUUGACGUUAGCGGCGGACGGGUGAGUAACACGUGGGUAACCUACCUAUAAGACUGGGAUAACUUCGGGAAACCGGAGCUAAUACCGGAUAAUAUUUCGAACCGCAUGGUUCGAUAGUGAAAGGUGGUUUUGCUAUCACUUAUAGAUGGACCCGCGCCGUAUUAGCUAGUUGGUAAGGUAACGGCUUACCAAGGCGACGAUACGUAGCCGACCUGAGAGGGUGAUCGGCCACACUGUAACUGAGACACGGUCCAGACUCCUACGGGAGGCAGCAGUC
This 281-nucleotide ribosomal RNA is filed under the name uncultured Staphylococcus sp. Its description in RNAcentral is "partial 16S ribosomal RNA". It matches the Rfam family "Bacterial small subunit ribosomal RNA", at positions 81 to 355 of the family's 1533-position model. Lineage: Bacteria; Bacillati; Bacillota; Bacilli; Caryophanales; Staphylococcaceae. The record is from RNAcentral.